This 515-nucleotide long non-coding RNA is filed under the name Homo sapiens (human). Its description in RNAcentral is "HSALNT0334119". The record is from RNAcentral. Lineage: Eukaryota; Metazoa; Chordata; Mammalia; Primates; Hominidae.
AUUUUCCUCUUAUGUGUUUAUGAAGAAUGAUAAACUAUAUUUAAUAUUUUAACCCAUAUUUAAAUAUAUAGUGAAUCAUUAAUAUAGUAUGUGCAAGACAAAUAUUAAUAUAUUACUUAUACUUUGCUGCAUAACAAAUAACCUCAGAACUGAGUGGCUUAAAAACAAUGAGCAUUCAUCAUGUCAGAGUUUCUGUGGCUCAGGAAUCCAAGCAAGGCAUAGCUAAGAGCUUCUGCUUCAAAGUCUCUCAUGAGGUUGCCCACAGGCUAAGUGGGGGAGGCUGACUGGGGAGAGUCUUCUUCUCAGUUCACUCAUGUGGUUAUUGGAAGGCCCCAGUCCCUUGCCACGUGGGCCUCUCCACCUGGCAACUUGCUUCCCUUGGAGUGAGUGUUCCAAGAGUGAGCAAGAGAAUGAGAGAACACCCAAGUUGGAAUCUACCUUCUUUUAAUAACCUAAUCUCUGAAGUGACAGCCCAUCAUUUCUGUUGUAUUCUAUUGGCUAGAAGCAAGUGAAUC